CCACCAAAGCGACGAUCAGUAGCCGACCUGAGAGGGUAACCGGCCACAUUGGGACUGAGACACGGCCCAAACUCCUACGGGAGGCAGCAGUGGGGGAUAUUGCACAAUGGGGGAAACCCUGAUGCAGCGACGCCGCGUGAGUGAAGAAGUAUUUCGGUAUGUAAAGCUCUAUCAGCAGGGAAGAAACUGACGGUACCUGACUAAGAAGCCCCGGCUAACUAC
Molecule: ribosomal RNA, 222 nt
Filed under: uncultured bacterium
Lineage: Bacteria
Description: partial 16S ribosomal RNA
Rfam family: Bacterial small subunit ribosomal RNA
Source: RNAcentral